Molecule: ribosomal RNA, 486 nt
Filed under: uncultured bacterium
Lineage: Bacteria
Description: bacterial SSU rRNA
Rfam family: Bacterial small subunit ribosomal RNA
Source: RNAcentral
GAUGAACGCUAGCGGCAGGCUUAAUACAUGCAAGUCGAGGGGCAUCAAGGUACACGAAAGUGUAUUGUUGGCGACCGGCGGACGGGUGAGUAAUAGGUAGGUAACCUACCUCAUACUGAGGCAUAGCUGGGAGAAAUUCCAGGUAAUUCCUCAUGAGGUUAUAUGACACAUGUGAUAUAAUCAAAGGUAUCGCAAGGUACUGGUAUGAGAUGGGCUUACUGACCAUUAGCUAGUUGGUGAGAUAAGAGCUCACCAAGGCGAAGAUGGUUAGGGGUUUUGAGAGAGAGAUCCCCCACAUUGGAACUGAGAUACGGCCCAGACUCCUACGGGAGGCAGCAGUAGGGAAUAUUGGGCAAUGGGCGGAAGCCUGACCCAGCCAUGCCGCGUGAAGGAAGACGGCCUUAUGGGUUGUAAACUUCUUUACUAUGCGACUAACUAGAUUUACGAGAUAAUUCUAUAGAAUGUAGCAUAGCAAAAAGCACCGGA